AAUGUAACGCUAGCGGCGUGCCUUAUGCAUGCAAGUCGAACGGUCUUAAGCAAUUAAGAUAGUGGCGAACGGGUGAGUAACGCGUAAGUAACCUACCUCUAAGUGGGGGAUAGCUUCGGGAAACUGAAGGUAAUACCGCAUGUGGUGGGCCGACAUAUGUUGGUUCACUAAAGCCGUAAGGCGCUUGGUGAGGGGCUUGCGUCCGAUUAGCUAGUUGGUGGGGUAAUGGCCCACCAAGGCUUCGAUCGGUAGCUGGUCUGAGAGGAUGAUCAGCCACACUGGGACUGAGACACGGCCCAGACUCCUACGGGAGGCAGCAGCAAGGAAUCUUGGGCAAUGGGCGAAAGCCUGACCCAGCAACGCCGCGUGAGGGAUGAAGGCUUUCGGGUUGUAAACCUCUUUUCAUAGGGAAGAAUAAUGACGGUACCUGUGGAAUAAGCUUCGGCUAACUACGU
Molecule: ribosomal RNA, 455 nt
Filed under: Dehalococcoides sp. enrichment culture clone AQ1-49
Lineage: Bacteria; Bacillati; Chloroflexota; Dehalococcoidia; Dehalococcoidales; Dehalococcoidaceae
Description: bacterial SSU rRNA
Rfam family: Bacterial small subunit ribosomal RNA
Source: RNAcentral